AGUGAACGCUGGCGGUAGGCCUAACACAUGCAAGUCGAACGGCAGCACAGCAGUAGCAAUACUGUGGGUGGCGAGUGGCGGACGGGUGAGGAAUACAUCGGAAUCUACCUUUUCGUGGGGGAUAACGUAGGGAAACUUACGCUAAUACCGCAUAAGACCUUCGGGGAAAGUGGGGGACCUUCGGGCCUCACGCGGAUAGA
Molecule: ribosomal RNA, 200 nt
Filed under: uncultured bacterium
Lineage: Bacteria
Description: partial 16S ribosomal RNA
Rfam family: Bacterial small subunit ribosomal RNA
Source: RNAcentral